RNAcentral lists this ribosomal RNA (253 nucleotides) under uncultured bacterium. RNAcentral describes it as "partial 16S ribosomal RNA". It matches the Rfam family "Bacterial small subunit ribosomal RNA", at positions 524 to 776 of the family's 1533-position model. The record is from RNAcentral.
UACGGAGGGUGCAAGCGUUGUCCGGAUUUAUUGGGUUUAAAGGGUGCGUAGGCGGCCUUGUAAGUCAGUGGCGAAAGCCUCCAGCUCAACUGGAGAACUGCCAUUGAUACUGCAAGGCUUGAGUACAGACGAGGUUGGCGGAAUUGAUUGUGUAGCGGUGAAAUGCAUAGAUACAAUCAAGAACUCCGAUUGCGUAGGCAGCUAACUAGGCUGUAACUGACGCUGAGGCACGAAAGCGUGGGGAGCGAACAGG